GACGAACGCUGGCGGCGUGCUUAACACAUGCAAGUCGAACGAAGAGCGAUGGAAGCUUGCUUCUAUCAAUCUUAGUGGCGAACGGGUGAGUAACGCGUAAUCAACCUGCCCUUCAGAGGGGGACAACAGUUGGAAACGACUGCUAAUACCGCAUACGAUCUAAUCUCGGCAUCGAGGAUAGAUGAAAGGUGGCCUCUACAUGUAAGCUAUCACUGAAGGAGGGGAUUGCGUCUGAUUAGCUAGUUGGAGGGGUAACGGCCCACCAAGGCGAUGAUCAGUAGCCGGUCUGAGAGGAUGAACGGCCACAUUGGGACUGAGACACGGCCCAGACUCCUACGGGAGGCAGCAGUGGGGAAUCUUCCGCAAUGGACGAAAGUCUGACGGAGCAACGCCGCGUGAGCGAUGACGGCCUUCGGGUUGUAAAGCUCUGUUAAUCGGGACGAAAGGCCUUCUUGCGAAUAGUGAGAAGGAUUGACGGUACCGGAAUAGAAAGCCACGGCUAACUACG
Molecule: ribosomal RNA, 508 nt
Filed under: uncultured bacterium
Lineage: Bacteria
Description: partial 16S ribosomal RNA
Rfam family: Bacterial small subunit ribosomal RNA
Source: RNAcentral